RNAcentral lists this ribosomal RNA (301 nucleotides) under uncultured bacterium. Its description in RNAcentral is "partial 16S ribosomal RNA". It matches the Rfam family "Bacterial small subunit ribosomal RNA", at positions 509 to 808 of the family's 1533-position model. The record is from RNAcentral.
CAGUCGCCACGGUAAUACGUAGGUCCCGAGCGUUGUCCGGAUUUAUUGGGCGUAAAGCGAGCGCAGGCGGUUAGAUAAGUCUGAAGUUAAAGGCUGUGGCUUAACCAUAGUACGCUUUGGAAACUGUUUAACUUGAGUGCAAGAGGGGAGAGUGGAAUUCCAUGUGUAGCGGUGAAAUGCGUAGAUAUAUGGAGGAACACCGGUGGCGAAAGCGGCUCUCUGGCUUGUAACUGACGCUGAGGCUCGAAAGCGUGGGGAGCAAACAGGAUUAGAUACCCCGGUAGUCCCUGUCUCUUAUACC